This 1103-nucleotide ribosomal RNA is filed under the name uncultured bacterium. RNAcentral's name for it is "bacterial SSU rRNA". It matches the Rfam family "Bacterial small subunit ribosomal RNA", at positions 8 to 1113 of the family's 1533-position model. The record is from RNAcentral.
AGAGUUUGAUCCUGGCUCAGAUUGAACGCUGGCGGCAUGCCUAACACAUGCAAGUCGAACGCGAAAAUACCUUCGGGUAUGAGUAGAGUGGCGGACGGGUGAGUAAAGCGUAGGGAGCUGCCCGAUAGUGGGGGAUAACCAUUGGAAACGAUGGCUAAUACCGCAUGAUGUCUACGGACCAAAGAGGGGGACCUUCGGGCCUCUUGCUAUCGGAUGCGCCUACGUGGGAUUAGCUAGUUGGUGAGGUAACGGCUCACCAAGGCGACGAUCCCUAGCUGGUUUGAGAGGAUGAUCAGCCACACUGGGACUGAGACACGGCCCAGACUCCUACGGGAGGCAGCAGUGGGGAAUAUUGGACAAUGGGGGCAACCCUGAUCCAGCCAUGCCGCGUGUGUGAAGAAGGCCUUCGGGUUGUAAAGCACUUUCAGCGAGGAGGAAAGGUGGGUAAUUAAUAACUGCCUGCUGUGACGUUACUCGCAGAAGAAGCACCGGCUAACUCCGUGCCAGCAGCCGCGGUAAUACGGAGGGUGCGAGCGUUAAUCGGAAUUACUGGGCGUAAAGGGCACGCAGGCGGCCUGUUAAGUUAGAUGUGAAAGCCCCGGGCUUAACCUGGGAAUGGCAUUUAAGACUGGCAGGCUAGAGUCUUGGAGAGGGGGGUGGAAUUUCCGGUGUAGCGGUGAAAUGCGUAGAGAUCGGAAGGAACAUCAGUGGCGAAGGCGACCCCCUGGCCAAAGACUGACGCUCAUGUGCGAAAGCGUGGGGAGCAAACAGGAUUAGAUACCCUGGUAGUCCACGCCGUAAACGAUGUCAACUUGGGGUCUGUGGUCAUGCACUGUGGAUCCCGGAGCUAACGCGUUAAGUUGACCGCCUGGGGAGUACGGCCGCAAGGUUAAAACUCAAAUGAAUUGACGGGGGCCCGCACAAGCGGUGGAGCAUGUGGUUUAAUUCGAUGCAACGCGAGAACCUUACCUACUCUGACAUCCAGAGAACAUUGCAGAGAUGCAUUGUGCCUUCGGGAGCUCUGAAACAGGUGCUGCAUGCUGUCGUCAGCUCGUGUUGUGAAUGUUGGAUAGUUCCCGCAACGAGCGCACCCUAAAUCCCUU